This 935-nucleotide ribosomal RNA is filed under the name uncultured bacterium. RNAcentral describes it as "bacterial SSU rRNA". It matches the Rfam family "Bacterial small subunit ribosomal RNA", at positions 8 to 917 of the family's 1533-position model. The record is from RNAcentral.
AGAGUUUGAUCCUGGCUCAGGACGAACGCUGGCGGCGUGCCUAAUACAUGCAAGUUGAACGCAACAAAGACACCAGAGCUUGCUCUACCGUCUUUGUUGAGUAGCGAACGGGUGAGUAACGCGUGGGUAACCUGCCUUAUAGCGGGGGAUAACUAUUGGAAACGAUAGCUAAUACCGCAUAACAAUAGAGAUUGCAUAAUCUUUAUUUGAAAGUGCCAACUGGUACACUAUGAGAUGGACCCGCGUUGUAUUAGCUAGUUGGUAGUGUAAUGGACUACCAAGGCGAUGAUACAUAGCCGACCUGAGAGGGUGAUCGGCCACAUUGGGACUGAGACACGGCCCAAACUCCUACGGGAGGCAGCAGUAGGGAAUCUUCGGCAAUGGACGAAAGUCUGACCGAGCAACGCCGCGUGAGUGAAGAAGGUUUUCGGAUCGUAAAACUCUGUUGUUAGAGAAGAAUGUUGAUUAGAGUGGAAAAUUAAUCAAGUGACGGUAUCUAACCAGAAAGGGACGGCUAACUACGUGCCAGCAGCCGCGGUAAUACGUAGGUCCCGAGCGUUGUCCGGAUUUAUUGGGCGUAAAGCGAGCGCAGGUGGUUUAAUAAGUCUGAUGUAAAAGGCAGUGGCUCAACCAUUGUGUGCAUUGGAAACUGUUAGACUUGAGUGCAGUAGAGGAGAGUGGAAUUCCAUGUGUAGCGGUGGAAUGCGUAGAUAUAUGGAGGAANACCGGUGGCGAAAGCGGCUCUCUGGACUGUCACUGACACUGAGGCUCGAAAGCGUGGGUAGCAAACAGGAUUAGAUACCCUGGUAGUCCACGCCGUAAACGAUGAGUGCUAGUUGUUUGGGGCUAUCCAGCCCUAAGUGACGCAGCAAACGCAUUAAGCACUCCGCCUGGGGAGUACGACCGCANGGUUGAAACUCAAAGGAAUUGACGGG